RNAcentral lists this ribosomal RNA (464 nucleotides) under uncultured bacterium. Its description in RNAcentral is "partial 16S ribosomal RNA". It matches the Rfam family "Bacterial small subunit ribosomal RNA", at positions 29 to 507 of the family's 1533-position model. The record is from RNAcentral.
AUGAACGCUGGCGGCGUGCUUAACACAUGCAAGUCGAACGGAAAGGCUCCUGCUUGCAGGGGUACUCGCGUGGCGAACGGGUGAGUAACACGUGGGUGAUCUGCCCUGCACUUCGGGAUAAGCCUGGGAAACUGGGUCUAAUACCGGAUAGGACCACAUUUUGGAUGGUGUGGUGGAAAGUUUUUCGGUGUGGGAUGAGCUCGCGGCCUAUCAGCUUGUUGGUGGGGUAAUGGCCUACCAAGGCGUCGACGGGUAGCCGGCCUGAGAGGGUGUACGGCCACAUUGGGACUGAGAUACGGCCCAGACUCCUACGGGAGGCAGCAGUGGGGAAUAUUGCACAAUGGGCGCAAGCCUGAUGCAGCGACGCCGCGUGGGGGAUGACGGCCUUCGGGUUGUAAACUCCUUUCGCUAGGGACGAAGCGCAAGUGACGGUACCUGGAGAAGAAGCACCGGCUAACUACGUG